This 1238-nucleotide ribosomal RNA is filed under the name iron-reducing bacterium enrichment culture clone FeC_1_D2. RNAcentral's name for it is "bacterial SSU rRNA". It matches the Rfam family "Bacterial small subunit ribosomal RNA", at positions 10 to 1266 of the family's 1533-position model. The record is from RNAcentral.
AGUUUGAUCCUGGCUCAGGACGAACGCUGGCGGCGUGCCUAACACAUGCAAGUCGAGCGGAGAUAGUUUGAUGGUAACUGAUAGCUAUUUUAGCGGCGGACGGGUGAGUAACACGUGGGCAACCUGCCUCAAAGAGGGGGAUAACACCGAGAAAUCGGUGCUAAUACCGCAUAACAUACAUUGACUGCAUGGUCGAUGUAUCAAAGGAGCAAUCCGCUUUGAGAUGGGCCCGCGGCUGAUUAGCUAGUUGGUGAGGUAAUGGCUCACCAAGGCAACGAUCAGUAGCCGACCUGAGAGGGUGACCGGCCACACUGGAACUGAGACACGGUCCAGACUCCUACGGGAGGCAGCAGUGGGGAAUAUUGCGCAAUGGGGGAAACCCUGACGCAGCAACGCCGCGUGGAGGAAGAAGGUCUUCGGAUUGUAAACUCCUGUCUUCUGGGACGAAUAAUGACGGUACCAGAGGAGGAAGCCACGGCUAACUACGUGCCAGCAGCCGCGGUAAUACGUAGGUGGCGAGCGUUGUCCGGAAUUACUGGGCGUAAAGGGCGCGUAGGCGGCUCUUUAAGUCAGAUGUGAAAACCCAGGGCUUAACUCUGGGACUGCAUUUGAAACUGAAGGGCUUGAGUGCAGGAGAGGUAAGUGGAAUUCCUAGUGUAGCGGCGAAAUGCGUAGAUAUUAGGAGGAACACCAGUGGCGAAGGCGACUUACUGGACUGUAACUGACGCUGAGGCGCGAAAGCGUGGGGAGCAAACAGGAUUAGAUACCCUGGUAGUCCACGCUGUAAACGAUGGAUACUAGGUGUGGGAGGUAUCGACCCCUUCCGUGCCGCAGUAAACGCAAUAAGUAUCCCGCCUGGGGAGUACGGCCGCAAAGGUUGAAACUCAAGGAAUUUGACGGGGGCCCGCACAAGCAGCGGGAGCAUGUGGGUUUAAUUCGAAGCAACGCGAAGACCUUACCAGAACUUGACAUCAUCUGCAUUACCCGUAACUGGGGAAAUCCUUCGGGACAGAAUAGACAGGGUGGUGCAUGGUUGUCGUCAGCUCGUGUCGUGAGAUGUUGGGUUAAGGUCCCGCAACGAGCGCAACCCCUAUUGUUAGUUGCCAUCAUUAGUGGUAACUCUAUGAGACUGCCCGGAGAAAAUUCGGAGGAGUGGGGAUGACGUCAUCAUCAUGCCUAUGUUCUGGCCUACCCACGUGUGCUACAAUUGGGUUAAUACACAACCGCGGGGAGAGUCG